UACGAAGGGGGCGAGCGUUGUUCGGAGUGACUGGGCGUAAAGGGCGCGUAGGCGGCGAUCCAAGUUAGGCGUGAAAGCCCCGGGCUUAACCUGGGAAUUGCGCUUAAGACUGGACUGCUUGAGUGCGGGAGAGGUGAGUGGAAUUCCCAGUGUAGAGGUGAAAUUCGUAGAUAUUGGGAAGAACACCAGUGGCGAAGGCGGCUCACUGGCCCGCAACUGACGCUGAGGCGCGAAAGCGUGGGGAGCAAACAGG
This 253-nucleotide ribosomal RNA is filed under the name uncultured bacterium. Its description in RNAcentral is "partial 16S ribosomal RNA". It matches the Rfam family "Bacterial small subunit ribosomal RNA", at positions 524 to 776 of the family's 1533-position model. The record is from RNAcentral.